This 1505-nucleotide long non-coding RNA is filed under the name Monodelphis domestica (gray short-tailed opossum). RNAcentral's name for it is "lncRNA (ENSMODG00000030267.2)". The record is from RNAcentral. Lineage: Eukaryota; Metazoa; Chordata; Mammalia; Didelphimorphia; Didelphidae.
CUCUUGUCUUGCCACAUCAACUGACUGUUGGACAUCUCUCACCCUGGAAAUCUUUCUGCCCUCUCAAGCAACUUAAGCAAAAUAGAACUUACCUGCCCUGUAAAAUCCAUCCCUCUUUCUGGUGUUCAAGGAUUGAUUUCAACCAAGAGAUCUAAGAGAGAGAAAAAUUCCCCCCAAAAUGGAAAAAAUGCUGUUUACUCCUUUCUCCCUAAAACAAAGGCAACUGAGGAGAUAUCAGCAACUACUGAGACAUGUACUUACAUUCUCAUCCCUUUAAAAUCUUGAUGAAAAUGAAAACACACUGUGGUACCUCUGAUGAAAACAUGAGAGGGAAGUAGGCAAAGCUUUCCCCAAGGAUUUUCUACAUCAGACACAUUCUCAUAGUCUCACAAAUGACUGAAGUGUAGAGAAUUUCAGAUUUCUUGACCUAAUGGAGCAGAAUGUCUGCCCCUUGGGCCCAAGCAGAACAAGUUUGCUCCCAUUUCUACAUGAGACAGCCCUUCGGAUACUUAAACACUGGGAGACAGUUGUCAAGUCCCCUGACAUCCUUUCCAGAGUCAGAAGCCAGAAGUGCCCAGAGUGACUGCAGUACCAGAAAUGAUCUGAUAUCUGAAGAGGAUCAAAGAGCUCUCCUCCCUUUUAUUCUCACCAUCUCUGUAUCCCCUCCCUUUCAUGAAAGGCAUGGCAUUUGUUUCCUACACUGAGGAGUCACAUGCCAAAGAGUCACUGUGGUUAUAUUAUCUUUCUGUUGUUGUUGUUCAGGUAUUUUCAGUCAUAUAUGACUCUUCAUGACCCCAUUUGGGGGUUUCUUCUCAAAGAAACUGGAGUGGUUUGCCAUAUCCUUCUUUAUCUCAUUUGACAGAUGAGGAAAGUGAGGCAGACAAACUUAUGUGACUUGUCCAAAGUCACCCAGGUAAAGUGUCUGAAACCAAAUUUGAACUCAGGUCUUCUUGACUCCAGAUCCAGGAUUCUAUUUCACUGUGCCAUCUAUCUGCCCCAUAAUAUAUUUAGACUUCUUAUAAUUUAUUUCCCUCCUCAUAGUCUACUCUUUCUCUGCUUGGCACUCUAUCUCCUGUUCAUUUGCAUUGGUUGUCCCCCAUACCUGUAACACUCUCCUUUCUUACCUCUGCCUAAUGAAACUUUUGACUUCCUUCAAGGCUUAACUCAGAUGCCAUCUCUUCCAGGUAGCCUUUCAUGAUCUCCCUAGGUGUUAAUGCUUCCCUAGGUAGCACUGUGGAUAGAGUGCUGGAUCUGGAGUCAAGAAGACUCAUCCUCCUGGGUUUAAAUUUGGCCUCAGACACUUACUAGCUAUGUGACUCUGAACAUGCCAGUUAACCCUGUUUGUCUCAGUUUCCUUAUCUAUAAAAUGAACUAAAGAAGGAAAUGGAAAACCAGUCCAGAAUCUUUGCCAAGAAAACCCUAAAAGGGUCAUGAAGAGUUGGACAUGACUGAAAAAAAAAACAAGAAAAAAUAAAAUCUAUUUUCUUCUCUCUAUGUGUUAUAAC